Molecule: ribosomal RNA, 437 nt
Filed under: Cantharidella picturata
Lineage: Eukaryota; Metazoa; Mollusca; Gastropoda; Trochida; Trochidae
Description: eukaryotic LSU rRNA
Rfam family: Eukaryotic large subunit ribosomal RNA
Source: RNAcentral
ACUUUCCGUGUUGGCAGAGCGUCACGACCGAUUCGGCGGCGGUGAUAAGGCCCGGGGGAAGGUAGGUCGUGUGUUCUCGGAUGCACGACUGUUAUAGACCCUGGGAGAUGGCCGCUGCUGGACCGUGGAACGACCCGUCGUAUGGCAGUGGGGCUACCCGCGUGCGUUCGACUCGGGAGGACAGGCUUGCCGUGCUUCCGGACUGCGCUGCGUGGGCGGACUCUGCGAUAGCCCGCGACGUGUAAGGGUCAGUGACACACGAUCGGUAAUCCACCCGGCCCGUCUUGAAACACGGACCAAGAAGUCCAACAUGUGCGCGAGUCAUUGGGUCCUACGAAACCUAAAGGCGUAAUGAAGGUGAAGGCAGGUUCGGCCUGCUGAGGUGAGAUCCUGGCCCUCGGGCUGGGCGCAUCACCGGCCCGUCUGCAAGGCGGAGC